CCUCGGUGCGCUACUUGUCACG
RNAcentral lists this microRNA (22 nucleotides) under Dinoponera quadriceps. RNAcentral describes it as "dqu-miR-252b-3p". Its record names the gene dqu-miR-252b-3p. Lineage: Eukaryota; Metazoa; Arthropoda; Insecta; Hymenoptera; Formicidae. The record is from miRBase by way of RNAcentral.